CUGUUUCCUUGAGAAGUGGCUUCCGGAGCUAACGCGUUAAGUCGACCGCCUGGGGAGUACGGCCGCAAGGUUAAAACUCAAAUGAAUUGACGGGGGCCCGCACAAGCGGUGGAGCAUGUGGUUUAAUUCGAUGCAACGCGAAGAACCUUACCUGGCCUUGACAUCCAGAGAACUUAGCAGAGAUGCUUUGGUGCCUUCGGGAACUCUGAGACAGGUGCUGCAUGGCUGUCGUCAGCUCGUGUUGUGAAAUGUUGGGUUAAGUCCCGCAACGAGCGCAACCCUUAUCCUUUGUUGCCAGCGGGUAGUGCCGGGAACUCAAAGGAGACUGCCGGUGAUAAACCGGAGGAAGGUGGGGAUGACGUCAAGUCAUCAUGGCCCUUACGGCCAGGGCUACACACGUGCUACAAUGGCGCAUACAAAGAGAAGCGACCUCGCGAGAGCAAGCGGACCUCAUAAAGUGCGUCGUAGUCCGGAUCGGAGUCUGCAACUCGACUCCGUGAAGUCGGAAUCGCUAGUAAUCGUAGAUCAGAAUGCUACGGUGAAUACGUUCCCGGGCCUUGUACACACCGCCCGUCACACCAUGGGAGUGGGUUGCAAAAGA
This 601-nucleotide ribosomal RNA is filed under the name uncultured bacterium. RNAcentral's name for it is "bacterial SSU rRNA". It matches the Rfam family "Bacterial small subunit ribosomal RNA", at positions 824 to 1424 of the family's 1533-position model. The record is from RNAcentral.